UAGGUUAAUGAUGACCACUGUUGUUGCAUGCAUUGUUGGUUGUGCCUGUAGGUCUUGAAGUCUGAGGUCCAU
Molecule: small nucleolar RNA, 72 nt
Organism: Onychomys torridus (southern grasshopper mouse)
Lineage: Eukaryota; Metazoa; Chordata; Mammalia; Rodentia; Cricetidae
Product: small nucleolar RNA SNORD113/SNORD114 family
Exons: 1
Source: RefSeq, a predicted model, not a curated record